This is a long non-coding RNA of Lolium rigidum, 1686 nucleotides long. RefSeq lists it as uncharacterized. NCBI's taxonomy places the organism in Eukaryota, Viridiplantae, Streptophyta, Magnoliopsida, Poales, Poaceae. The transcript is spliced from 4 exons. The record is from RefSeq and is a predicted model, not a curated record.
GUGAGCAUGUGACACAGGAACGCGCAUGCAGCGAGUGCUCGAGUGUGUGCCUCCACGGCUAACACUGUCUCUGUCUGCCGCUCUAGUUGUGAUUCCAUCCUUAUCCUUUUCUCCUCCCCCCUCUCCCUCUCUCUCUCAGAUUCGACACAGCGGCGUGCCGGCGGCCAAGGAGAUGUGGCUCACGUCGCGGCGGCCGGGCACGCGCUCAGAGGCUGCACUAUGCGCCCCGCUGAGGUGUUGAAUUAGCAGUCAGGACGCCGGCGUCCAUGGCCGGCAUGCUUUGAUGACUGAAAGUGUGCAUGCACGUGCGGGCGAGGCUCGCAAUACUGAAGCUCAGCCGCGUCGUUGAUUCGUAGAGCCCGAGGGCGAAGGAGGUAGUUUCCACCAGUGCAUCGUGCUGUCGAGCCGGUGUGGCUGGUCUUCGCUGGAUCCUACGUUUGUUCCAUGCCACGCUGGGGAUGCCAUUGCGAGCAAUAGCAAGCCGCCCGCUUGUUUGCAGGGCCAGACCGGCAGUAGAGCUGGAGGAUGAGGAGCUAGACUUGCGCCAUCCGGCUCCGGCAGCAGGCACCAGUGACCCAAACUGAGUAAGCUCACUGGCGAUUGAGCGGAUAGGGUGCCAUCACCUGUGGAUAAGCAAAAGAUGCAGCAUCAAAAUCAAUUCAUAAGGAAAACAAAGGAAGGAAACCAAUACCUUCAAGAGUCUAAGGAGGAAUGAUAGAGGAUUUAGGCAACCUCCCGUGAAGUAAGCGCGGAUUCAGCCGACAAUAACUGGAAAGAGCAAAACUGAUGAUCGCAUUCUCCAUUCUACGGAAUACUAGAUUUGCAGAUGUGCAUCCAUUUUGUCAGUUAACCGGUUGGAUGAGGUAUUACUUAAGCUGAAGAGACGAUCCAAGCACGAGUCGUUACUGCACCUGCAAUGUGCCGAAUGUAGCAGAAGCUUUGGCUAUGUGUCAUGGUUGGAACUUGCGGUCUCCAUUGGAGCUAAUGCGGUAGAAGCGCAAUCGGAUUCUAUAGAGGUAAUACACUAUUGCUCGGGGCAAGAACGGAUGUGGAAUGAAGCAACUGCAGUUUAUGCAGAUUGUUUGACGAGUGCGGGAAUCAUCGGGAAGGUUGAGUUCACUCAUUGUCCGAGAGAGGUGAUGAAGUGGCGCAUCAAAUAGCUAGGUGUUGCUUUGAUUCGAAAAAUUCCUGUAAUUGGAUCGAUGAACCCCCUAGUUUUAUUUUGCAAAUUCUCGUGAAUGAUGCAACUAUUAUCUGAUAUUAAUAAAGCUAGCCGUAGUGGCCUUCCCUAAAAAAAGUAACUAACUGACAAUUAUCAUGAUGUUCUGAAGUCUAUAGGAUUGAAUUAAGCAUUACAUCCGUAAGAAUAAGAGAACGAUCAUGAACCAUAUGUUAGAGCUUGAAGGUGUAUUUUUCGAUGGCGCCAACAACGCAUCAACCCUACGCCAUCCUCAGCUAUGCAAUGCCUGAACCCAACCCAGAAUUGAGACAGCUGAAAGUUGCGUUCUGUCAACGUCGGGCCGCUCACCUCGGAUGAAGGUCGUGACAGGAGAAUGGUAGGCGUCGGCGAGCAGGAAGAGAUGCACCUCCACGAAGGCCUUCCUUCGGAUCUGUACCCAUGACAGCUACGACUUCCAUGCUGCAGGGCCUAUCGAUGUGGCCCUUGAGUAGGGCGGAUGGGGGAGC